This 468-nucleotide ribosomal RNA is filed under the name uncultured bacterium. RNAcentral describes it as "partial 16S ribosomal RNA". It matches the Rfam family "Bacterial small subunit ribosomal RNA", at positions 28 to 507 of the family's 1533-position model. The record is from RNAcentral.
GACGAACGCUGGCGGCGUGCUUAACACAUGCAAGUCGAACGGAAAGGCCCUGCUUUUGUGGGGUGCUCGAGUGGCGAACGGGUGAGUAACACGUGAGUAACCUGCCCUUGACUUUGGGAUAACUUCAGGAAACUGGGGCUAAUACCGGAUAGGAGCUCCUGCUGCAUGGUGGGGGUUGGAAAGUUUCGGCGGUUGGGGAUGGACUCGCGGCUUAUCAGCUUGUUGGUGGGGUAGUGGCUUACCAAGGCUUUGACGGGUAGCCGGCCUGAGAGGGUGACCGGCCACAUUGGGACUGAGAUACGGCCCAGACUCCUACGGUAGGCAGCAGUGGGGAAUAUUACACAGUGGGCGGAAGCCUGAUGCAGCAACGCCGCGUGCGGGAUGACGGCCUUCGGGUUGUAAACCGCUUUCGCCUGUGACGAAGCGUGAGUGACGGUAAUGGAUAAAGAAGCACCGGCUAACUACGUG